AUACGGAGGAUCCGAGCGUUAUCCGGAUUUAUUGGGUUUAAAGGGUGCGCAGGCGGCCAUUUAAGUCAGCGGUUAAAUCGUGGGGCUCAACCCCAUUCUGCCGUUGAUACUGGGUGGCUUGAUUGCGGUCGAGGUUGGCGGAAUUCGUUGUCUAGCGGUGAAAUGCAUAGAUAUGACGAAGAACACCGAUUGCGUAGGCAGCUGACCAGAUCGCAAAUGACGCUCAUGCACGAAAGUGCGGGGAUCGAACAGGAUUAGAUACCCUGGUAGUCCGCACAGUAAACGAUGAAUACUUGUUUUCGGCGAUAUAAUGUCGGAGGCAAAGCGAAAGCGAUAAGUAUUCCACCUGGGGAGUACGCCGGCAACGGUGAAACUCAAAGGAAUUGACGGGG
Molecule: ribosomal RNA, 392 nt
Filed under: uncultured bacterium
Lineage: Bacteria
Description: partial 16S ribosomal RNA
Rfam family: Bacterial small subunit ribosomal RNA
Source: RNAcentral